RNAcentral lists this ribosomal RNA (505 nucleotides) under uncultured bacterium. RNAcentral's name for it is "partial 16S ribosomal RNA". It matches the Rfam family "Bacterial small subunit ribosomal RNA", at positions 28 to 507 of the family's 1533-position model. The record is from RNAcentral.
GACGAACGCUGGCGGCGUGCCUAAUACAUGCAAGUGGGACGCAAGGACACACACUGUGCUUGCACACCGUGUUUUCUUGAGUCGCGAACGGGUGAGUAACGCGUAGGUAACCUGCCUAUUAGCGGGGGAUAACUAUUGGAAACGAUAGCUAAUACCGCAUAAUAUUAAUUAUUGCAUGAUAAUUGAUUGAAAGAUGCAAGCGCAUCACUAGUAGAUGGACCUGCGUUGUAUUAGCUAGUUGGUAAGGUAAGAGCUUACCAAGGCGACGAUACAUAGCCGACCUGAGAGGGUGAUCGGCCACACUGGGACUGAGACACGGCCCAGACUCCUACGGGAGGCAGCAGUAGGGAAACUUCGGCAAUGGGCGGAAGUCUGACCGCGCAACGCCGCGGGAGUGAAGAAGAUUUUCGGAUCGGAAAGCUCUGUUGUAAGUCAAGAACGUGUGUGAGAGUGGAAAGUUCACAGAGUGACGGUAGCUUACCAGAAAGGGACGGCUAACUACGUG